GCAGACUCAACUCUGUUUAAGUCUGACAAAUCCAGCCUUAGACUUUUUAUGUCUGCGACAGUAACGUUAUAAGAAGAACGUUAUAACCUGCCUUGCCAUUCACUUGGGAGGUGACCGUGUCUUCUCAGACAAAAUG
RNAcentral lists this small nucleolar RNA (136 nucleotides) under Sinocyclocheilus grahami. RNAcentral's name for it is "Small nucleolar RNA SNORA77 (ENSSGRG00000034040.1)". It matches the Rfam family "Small nucleolar RNA SNORA77". From Rfam's summary of the family: ACA63 (SNORA77) is a member of the H/ACA class of snoRNAs that guide the sites of modification of uridines to pseudouridines. The record is from Rfam by way of RNAcentral. Lineage: Eukaryota; Metazoa; Chordata; Actinopteri; Cypriniformes; Cyprinidae.